RNAcentral lists this ribosomal RNA (468 nucleotides) under uncultured bacterium. RNAcentral's name for it is "partial 16S ribosomal RNA". It matches the Rfam family "Bacterial small subunit ribosomal RNA", at positions 28 to 507 of the family's 1533-position model. The record is from RNAcentral.
GACGAACGCUGGCGGCGUGCUUAACACAUGCAAGUCGAACGGAAAGGCCCUGCUUUUGUGGGGUGCUCGAGUGGCGAACGGGUGAGUAACACGUGAGUAACCUGCCCUUGACUUUGGGAUAACUUCAGGAAACUGGGGCUAAUACCGGAUAGGAGCUCCUGCUGCAUGGUGGGGGUUGGAAAGUUUCGGCGGUUGGGGAUGGACUCGCGGCUUAUCAGCUUGUUGGUGGGGUAGUGGCUUACCAAGGCUUUGACGGGUAGCCGGCCUGAGAGGGGGACCGGCCACAUUGGGACUGAGAUACGGCCCAGAAUCCUACGGGAGGCAGCAGUGGGGAAUAUUGCACAAUGGGCGGAAGCCUGAUGCAGCAACGCCGCGUGCGGGAUGACGGCCUUCGGGUUGUAAACCGAUUUCGCCUGUGACGAAGCGUGAGUGACGGUAAUGGGUAAAGAAGCACCGGCUAACUACGUG